RNAcentral lists this ribosomal RNA (253 nucleotides) under uncultured bacterium. RNAcentral describes it as "partial 16S ribosomal RNA". It matches the Rfam family "Bacterial small subunit ribosomal RNA", at positions 524 to 776 of the family's 1533-position model. The record is from RNAcentral.
UACGUAGGUGGCAAGCGUUGUCCGGAUUUAUUGGGUUUAAAGGGUGCGUAGGCGGCCCUGUAAGUCAGUGCUGAAAUACCCCGGCUUAACCGGGGGGGUGGCAUUGAUACUGCAGGGCUUGAGUACAGAUGAGGUAGGCGGAAUUGACGGUGUAGCGGUGAAAUGCAUAGAUAUCAGGAGGAACACCUAUUGCGAAGGCAGCUCGCUGGGACGUUACUGACGCUGAGACGCGAAAGCGUGGGGAGCAAACAGG